Molecule: non-coding RNA, 2530 nt
Organism: Oryza sativa Japonica Group (Japanese rice)
Lineage: Eukaryota; Viridiplantae; Streptophyta; Magnoliopsida; Poales; Poaceae
Source: RefSeq, a predicted model, not a curated record
GAAACCCUAGCCAACACUGUUCCCCCAACCCUCUCUUCCUCUCUCGCUCUCUCCCCUGCCCUUGCGACGGCGCCGCCCUGUGUUCUCCUCGCCGCCAACGGCCUCACCGCCGCCGCCGCCGCCUUUGUUCCCUUCCCUGCUUCUCCUUGCCGACGACGGCCUCCCCCUCCCCAAUCUGGUGCUAGCUAGGGAUGGGAUCGAGGAGGGAGGCGGCAGGGAACGUAGCAGCGAGAGGCGUCAGUGGGCCGCGAGGCUUGCGCCGCGAGCCCCCAUAGCCGGGGGAGAGAAGGGCGCUAGGAAGGGGAGCAGGCGGCAGGGAGAGCGAGGGAGGAGGAAGGGUGGCGUGGGAGCAGUCCUUUCAAGGCACUCAAGACAGCGCCAGCUAUGUCCGGUGACGGUGUGCUCUGUCUCGACGGCCGGGGCUCGAGGUCGGUGGCGAGGCAGUCCGAUGGAUUUGCAUCUCAGGGGUCAGGAUGGAUGGAUUUAUUGCAGAACGGAUCCAUCAAUAUAUUUGCCGUCACCUUCAUGCAUUCCUCUGUGAUUAGGAAUGGAGAUCUGAGAGUUGAUACUAUUUGUUGCGUACUAAGCUCUAUAUGGGGAAAUUUUGCAAAUUUUUUGGUGCAGAAAACAUGAGCAGAAGGAGAUAUUGGAUGACUGACGAACUCACUUCGUUGCCGAAGUAACAUUAUUUGAUCUCUUCAGGUUCUCUCCCCUCUAUCAUUCUACCAUUUAUUCUUUGCUAUUUUGUUAGGCUAUCUAGCAGUAAAAAUUUGUGCCCUUUUAUAAUUUCCUCAAAAUGCUGGAAACUCCUAUUCUGAUUCUCUGCUGUUUCAGUGGCAAUAAUAGAUCUGGGUUUGGCAAAGUUCCAUUUUCUACUAUUUGUUGGUGAAAAAAUGAGGCUACCAUUCUCCUCCUGCAAAAUAAAUCAGGGUAGCGAUGCAGUCUAUAUAUAAAUAAGUGUAUGCUUCCCAUAUUCCAAUCCUUGUGACCUAGAUAAUGCCAAACAAAUUCAUCGUCAUUUUCUCAUGCAAUAUAUUGCCAUCACCUCCGUGCAGCAUGUCGAUUUCUAUACAAAGGCAUGACACGAGACAUUAUUUAGUGGCCUCUGUAAAUUCAAAUGAUGUUAAUUUCUGAGUUCAGUAAAACAUGUAGCAGUUCAUCUCUUAUGCUGAAGAAAGAUACCAGUUUUACUAUGUCAGCUGUUGGUUUGUUUAGGUGGGUUUGCACGCGGUGUACUCAAUCCUGAAUGUUUAGGUUACUGAUGAGAUGCCAUGUAUAUUGGUAAUUUUGUGUCACAAUUUCAGAUUUCAGAACCGUGUCAGUACAAAAAUCAGCUAAAAAUGGUGAGUACCAUAUUAGUGAAACAAUUCACUGUCAGUUCUUUGUGUUAAGCAAAUCAAAUACCGUUAUUGCCAGAAUGCAAAUUACAACAGUUCUAGCUUCCAUCUCAAAAUAUGGGUGCUUGCAGAGUUGUUUCAUUGGUUUACCCUUAGUACUAUUAUCUUGGUGCUCAUAUCUUCUAUGCAACAAAAAAUUGUUCUAAACUCUAUGUAAUUGUAGAUGUGAUAUAUAAUCAUUUUCAUGUAUUUUUUUAAAAUUACGUAGUUUCUUAAUUUAUCAAAUGAUAGGGCUCCACGAAGCACAAAAAAGGUAAAUACUGAAAGAUAAGUUCUGUGCACUUUGAGUUUUAUUUUCUUUCUUGGAACUCAGGACUUCUGAUGAUGAUAGAUUGAUAGCUCUAUUUUAUUCAUUCAUGCAUAUUUGCUUCAUAUUGUUCUUGAUUCAGUAGCUAGGCUGGUUGAGAGGGAUAAUUGAUAAAUUGUAUUUCCUAUCUUCUGAGAUUUCUUCUAACCGUGCAUGUCAGCUAAAACUAUGGCAUAAAAUCCAUAUUGCAAGUAUGGAGCUGGUGAGGUGCUUGACUGAUGGGGAGACAUUGUGAGGUGCUCGGCGCUGUCGGCAAGCCUUUGCUGGUCAUUAGGCCAACAAGGUGUAUUGCAGUGGCAGAGCAAGCCAGCCUGAAAAUUGCCUCCAGAUUUGCUGCAGCGGCAGAGCAAGCCUGAAAAUUGCCUCCAAAUUUGCUCUUUACAUGGUGAUAAAAUUAGGCUAUAAUGGUUGUAUUUUUUAGGUUGAACUGCAAACAUAUCAUUGUUGGUAUGACUGCAUGGAUAAUUUUGUUAACGGAUGUGCUAUGGUUCACACGUGCAGAUGUCUGUGGCCCUUCUUCCUCGGACAUUAUUUUUAUUAUCAUCAUCUAGGUUAGGAUAGAGGGCUUUUAAAAGAAAAUACUCUCUUAUUUGGUACGCAAAAUCCUACAGAUCUGAAUGCUCUUUUAUUUCAUAUGUAGUGCUUCCUGAAUCGUUUGUAUAAUUGUAUUUCCAUAGAGCUAGACCCUUUCGUCUCAAUUAUUUGUUUCUUUUCAUGUAUGAACAUUCUUUUUUUCGAUUGCCAAACCAGGUUGUUUGCCUGAUAAAUGAUAAUGUAACAAUGGUAACAGUAAGUUAAAAAAAAGGAUGAUGAUCAGUUUGAUGCA